RNAcentral lists this ribosomal RNA (484 nucleotides) under uncultured bacterium. RNAcentral's name for it is "partial 16S ribosomal RNA". It matches the Rfam family "Bacterial small subunit ribosomal RNA", at positions 30 to 507 of the family's 1533-position model. The record is from RNAcentral.
AUUGAACGCUGGCGGCAGGCCUAACACAUGCAAGUCGAGCGGAUGAAGGGAGCUUUCUCCUGGUUUCAGCGUCGGACGGUUGUGUAAUGCCUAGGAAUCUGCCUGGUUGUGUGUUUUAACUUCCGUAAACGGGCGCUAAUCCCGCAUACGUCCUUAGGGUGAAAUUGUGUGUUCUUCGUUCCUCACGCUUUCAUAUUUGCCUAGGUCGUAUUAGCUAGUUGGUGGGGUAAAGUCCUACCAAGGCGACGAUCCGUAACUGGUCUGAGAGGAUGAUCAGUCACACUGGAACUGAGACACGGUCCAGAGUCCUACGGGAGGCAGCAGUGGGGAAUAUUGGACAAUGGGCGAAAGCAUGAUCCAGCAAUGCCGCGUGUGUGAAGAAGGUCUUCGGAUUGUAAAGCACUUUAAGUUGGGAGGAAGGGAAGUAAGUUAAUAACUUGCUGUUUUGACGUUACCAACAGAAUAAGCAACGGCUAACUUCGUG